Microtus oregoni (creeping vole) is the source of this 205-nucleotide long non-coding RNA. RefSeq lists it as uncharacterized. Lineage: Eukaryota; Metazoa; Chordata; Mammalia; Rodentia; Cricetidae. The transcript is spliced from 3 exons. The record is from RefSeq and is a predicted model, not a curated record.
GAAGAAGAAGAAGAAGAAGAAGAAGAAGAAGAAGAAGAAGGCUGUUCACAUGAUUCUUAUUUCCUAGCCCCAUAAUUCUCAGCUUUGAUGCCUGUGACCGCGGUGCCAGGAAGGCUCAACUAGUCAGGAAGCAUCCUCUGCUGAGGAGUCCACAGACACAACCUUACGUGCCAGUGCAGGUGUCCACGGAGGCCUGAAGAGGGCA